Molecule: long non-coding RNA, 1281 nt
Filed under: Populus tremula
Lineage: Eukaryota; Viridiplantae; Streptophyta; Magnoliopsida; Malpighiales; Salicaceae
Description: long non-coding RNA (PTRE_LNC002628)
Source: RNAcentral
CUAGCUAAUAGCCAGCAGGUAACAUUCAAACAUAUACUUCUAAUAUCAUGCUUUGAGAAUGGAGAUCGCCCUUGGCAUCUGGAUAUCUCAUAUAUAUGCAAACAUUUCCAGACUGAUAUUGCUCUUUCUAUAUUUUCCCGUUCUGAGUUUCCUCUGUGGAAAGAUAUUAAAAGACCUGAUUGUGCCACAUGUCAAGAGAUUAGAGAAUCAAGCAGUUAAAAUUCUGUUAAGCAGUUAAAGUUCUGUUAAUAAUGUUAGACAGUUAAGAAAGUUUGUUAGUAUUGAGGUGAGAAGCUUGUUCACAUCUAUAACUUGAUAUAAAAAGAUCUGUAACAGUGUAAAACAGAGUAAUGAAUUACAGUGAACACAUUCUUCUUCUUCCAUCACCUAUCAGACAUUCUCUCUGCUUAGUUUUCUAGUGUAUUCCUGUGAAAAUCUGCAUCUUAACACUCUGUAAUUGUUGAGACAAAGAAAUGGGCGCAUAAUGGCACUGCAUGGUGAUGAAGAAGUAGCUAACAAGCAGGUGAUAUUAAAAGACUAUGUCAUGUCUGGUUGUCCUAAGAAUUCAGACAUGAAUGUGAUCACCAGUUCUAUCAAACUUGAAGGUGUUUACGUGCUUGAGUAUUAUGUAAGAAAAGAAAGUAGAAGAGAAUUUUAAAACAGCAAUGUUAUUGAUGCUGCAGUAUUAUUAAGAAAGGAUUGAAUACAGAAUUGCUUAAUGUUUCACAGCAAUCUUAAUCAUUUGAUAAAAUUGCUGUUUGAUCAAAUUAGAGAUGUUUCAUGCUAUUAGGAUAAGGAUGAUGGACUCUGUAAAUGUUUUGAAUCAAGGCAAACAAUCACCAGUACAAUAUGUUUCAAAUUUGUUGAGUUACUUCUCUUGGGUAUUCUUUUGCUACCUGCAGUGAGUAUUCUUCGGAAUCAUCUUCAGAUAACGAUGAACAGAUUGAACAAUAACAGUACUUUUGGGAUUUUAAAUGAUGGUUCUGAAAUUACCUUUAUGUCAAGGGGAUACAAUUCUUCUUCCAUCUGACAGUAGUGGAGAAAAACUAGCCAGCAAGUUUUUGAAACAGAAGUAGCACCAUUAAAACACAGAAAGCUAGAGCUGAACCUAUUUUCAAUGUAAAAAACAAAAAAAGCAGUUUAAUUUGUAUCUAAUGGUAAAUUCAAUAACAGAAAAGAUGUAGAUGGAGCAGCAAAUGACACAAGAAGUUAUCGAAAUUCCAAACCAUACCUCAGUGUGUUAAUAUAUUGUCGUUCUAUACACAAUGGACAACAUUGAUG